CGCAAUGGGCGAAAGCCUGACGGAGCAAUGCCGCGUGGAGGAUGAMGGCCUGUGGGUUGUAAACUCCUUUUCUCAGAGAAGAAGAUCUGACGGUAUCUGAGGAAUAAGCAUCGGCUAACUCUGUGCCAGCAGCCGCGGUAAUACAGGGGAUGCMAGCGUUAUCCGGAAUUAUUGGGCGUAAAGCGUCCUGAGGUGGCUUACCCAGUCGACUGUGAAAGCUCAAGGCUCAACCUUGAAACGGCAGUCGAAACUUGUAAGCUUGAGUACGGUAGAGGCAGAGGGAAUUCCCGGAGGAGAGGUGAAAUUCGUAGAUAUCGGGAGGAAGGCCAAAGGCGAAAGCACUCUGCUGGGCCGAUUACUGACACUGACAGACGAAAGCUAGGGGAGCGAARGRGAUUARAUACC
Molecule: ribosomal RNA, 405 nt
Filed under: uncultured Trebouxiophyceae
Lineage: Eukaryota; Viridiplantae; Chlorophyta; Trebouxiophyceae
Description: bacterial SSU rRNA
Rfam family: Bacterial small subunit ribosomal RNA
Source: RNAcentral